UGGGAUAGCACAGUUGGUAGAGCAUCAGAUUCUUAAUCUCGGGAUUGUGAGUUCGAGCCCCACACGGGACAA
This 72-nucleotide transfer RNA is filed under the name Podarcis lilfordi (Lilford's wall lizard). RNAcentral's name for it is "tRNA.Lys". Lineage: Eukaryota; Metazoa; Chordata; Lepidosauria; Squamata; Lacertidae. The record is from RNAcentral.